GUGCCGAAUGGGCUCUCUUCGGCCAUAAGCACGCGCGUGUCCAACGAGCUCGGAGUGGGGCAGCCCCGGGCGGCGCUUCUGGCGGCCCGCGUGGUGAUAGUGCUGGCGUUUCUGGUGGGCACGUCGGAGGGGCUCCUCCUGGUUCUUGUGCACAAAGUGUGGGGCUAUGCCUACAGCAAGGACCAGGAGGUGGUCUCCUACGUCGGCACCAUGAUGCUCAUCCUCGCCGUCUCCGUCCUCUUCGACGGCCUCCAGUACGUCCUCUCAGGUAUGAUUGCAUGUCAUGCAUGUUGUGGAACAAGGCUUUAUUUACUGCACAGUUUGACUUGUAAACAAAAAUAUACACUUCACACCAGUAUAUAUACGUACUUCACUUCCUUGGUUUGUAUGUACCGCCCCCAUCAUUUUGACCGGGGGCAAACAAAUCUACGUAUGGAAUUCGUGGUUAGCUUAGUUAUGAUUGGAUCAAUUAUCAGUCAUCUGCUAAUUCGUAGGGGAGAAGUUAAAAUUUGCAACUCGUCAGAAUUCUAA
RNAcentral lists this ribosomal RNA (531 nucleotides) under Triticum aestivum (bread wheat). RNAcentral's name for it is "partial small subunit ribosomal RNA". Lineage: Eukaryota; Viridiplantae; Streptophyta; Magnoliopsida; Poales; Poaceae. The record is from RNAcentral.